UGAUAGUCUGAGUAAUAAAAGCACUGA
Molecule: non-coding RNA, 27 nt
Filed under: Bombyx mori (domestic silkworm)
Lineage: Eukaryota; Metazoa; Arthropoda; Insecta; Lepidoptera; Bombycidae
Source: RNAcentral